Oncorhynchus tshawytscha (Chinook salmon) is the source of this 1979-nucleotide long non-coding RNA. The record is from Ensembl. Lineage: Eukaryota; Metazoa; Chordata; Actinopteri; Salmoniformes; Salmonidae.
CCCCACUACCACUAUCAGAUUAGAGCCAUAAGGGACACUAGGAAUCUGCCACCCUACUACCAUUAUCAUAUUAGAGCCAUAAGGGACACUAGACAUCCACCACCCUACUGCCAUUAUCAUAUUAGAGCCAUAAGGGACACUAGACAUCCACCACCCUACUACCAUUAUCAUAUUAGAGCCAUAAGGGACACUAGACAUCCACCACCCUACUACCAUUAUCAUAUUAGAGCCAUAAUGGACACUAGGAAUCUACCACCCCACUACCACUAUCAGAUUAGAGCCAUAAGGGACACUAGGAAUCUACCACCCCACUACCACUUAUCAGAUUAGAGCCAUAAGGGACACUAGACAUCCACCACCCUACUGCCAUUAUCAUAUUAGAGCCAUAAGGGACACUAGACAUCCACCACCCUACUACCAUUAUCAUAUUAGAGCCAUAAGGGACACUAGACAUCCACCACCCUACUGCCAUUAUCAUAUUAGAGCCACAAGGGACACUAGGAAUCUACCACCCCACUACCACUAUCAGAUUAGAGCCAUAAGGGACACUAGACAUCCACCACCCUACAUCCACUAUCAUAUUAGAGCCAUAAGGGACACUAGGAAUCUACCACCCCACUACCACUAUCAGAUUAGAGCCAUAAGGGACACUAGGAAUCAACCACCCCACUACCACUAUCAGAUUAGAGCCAUAAGGGACACUAGGAAUCUACCACCCCACUACCACUAUCCUAUUAGAGCCAUAAGGGACCCUAGGAAUCUACCACCCCACUACCACUAUCAGAUUAGAGCCAUAAGGGACACUAGGAAUCUACCACCCCACUACCACUAUCAGAUUAGAGCCAUAAGGGACACUAGGAAUCUGCCACCCCCCACUACUACUGUCAGAUUAGAGCCAUAAGGGACACUAGACAUCCACCACCCUACUACCAUUAUCAUAUUAGAGCCAUAAGGGACACUAGACAUCCACCACCCUACUACCAUUAUCAUAUUAGAGCCAUAAGGGACACUAGACAUCCACCACCCUACUGCCAUUAUCAUAUUAGAGCCACAAGGGACACUAGGAAUCUACCACCCCACUACCACUAUCAGAUUAGAGCCAUAAGGGACACUAGGAAUCUGCCACCCCCCACUACCACUAUCAGAUUAGAGCCAUAAGGGACACUAGGACUCUACCACCUAACUACCACUAUCAGAUUAGAGCCAUAAGGGACACUAGGAAUCUGCCACCCCCCACUACCACUAUCAGAUUAGAGCCAUAAGGGACUCUACCACCUAACUACCACCAUCAGAUUAGAGCUGUAAGGGACACUAGACAUCCACCACCCUACUAUAAUUAUAAUAUUAGAGCCAUAAGGGACACUAAACAUCCACCACCCUACUACCAUUAUCAUAUUAGAGCCAUAAGGGACACUAGACAUCCACCAACCUACUACCAUUAUCAUAUUAGAGUCAUAAUGGACAUUAGAAAUCCACAACAAAACUAUCACGAUCAGGUAAGAGCCAUAAGGGACCCUAGGAAUCUACCAUCCCACUACCACUAUCAGAUUAGAGCCAUAAGGGACACUAGGAAUCUACCACCCACUACCACUAUCAGAUUAGAGCCAUAAGGGACACUAGGAAUCUGCCACCCCACUACCAUUAUCAUAUUAGAGCCAUAAGGGACACUAUGAAUCUAACAACCCCCACUACCACUAUCAGAUUAGAGCCAUAAGGGACACUAGGAAUCUGCCACCCCCCACUACCACUAUCAGAUUAGAGCCAUAAGGGACACUAGGAAUCUUCCACCCCCCCACUACCAUUAUCAGAUUAGAGCCAUAAGGGACACUAGACAUCCACCACCCUACUACCACUAUCAGAUUAGAGCCAUAAGGGACACUAGGAAUCUACCACCCCACUACCACUAUCAGAUUAGAGCCAUAAGGGACACUAGGAAUCUACCACCCCACUACCAUUAUCAUAUUAGAGCCAUAAGGGAC